This 253-nucleotide ribosomal RNA is filed under the name uncultured bacterium. RNAcentral describes it as "partial 16S ribosomal RNA". It matches the Rfam family "Bacterial small subunit ribosomal RNA", at positions 524 to 776 of the family's 1533-position model. The record is from RNAcentral.
UACGUAGGUGGCAAGCGUUGUCCGGAUUUACUGGGCGUAAAGAGCGCGCAGGCGGUCGAUCAAGUCGCGUGUGAAAGCCCCCGGCUCAACUGGGGAGGGUCACGCGAUACUGAUCGACUCGAAGGCAGGAGAGGGUAGUGGAAUUCCAGGUGUAGCGGUGAAAUGCGUAGAUAUCUGGAGGAACACCGGUGGCGAAGGCGGCAUCCUGGACCGGUAUUGACGCUGAGGCGCGAAAGCCAGGGGAGCAAACGGG